AUUGAACGCUGGCGGAAUGCUUUACACAUGCAAGUCGAGCGGCAGCGCGGGGGCAACCCUGGCGGCGAGCGGCGAACGGGUGAGUAACAUAUCGGAACGUACCCAGUCGUGGGGGAUAACUAUCCGAAAGGAUAGCUAAUACCGCAUACGUCCUGAGGGAGAAAGCGGGGGAUCGCAAGACCUCGCGCGAUUGGAGCGGCCGAUAUCGGAUUAGCUAGUUGGUGGGGUAAAGGCUCACCAAGGCGACGAUCCGUAGCGGGUCUGAGAGGACGACCCGCCACACUGGAACUGAGACACGGUCCAGACUCCUACGGGAGGCAGCAGUGGGGAAUUUUGGACAAUGGGGGCGAACCCUGAUCCAGCCAUUCCGCGUGAGUGAAG
RNAcentral lists this ribosomal RNA (381 nucleotides) under uncultured bacterium. RNAcentral's name for it is "bacterial SSU rRNA". It matches the Rfam family "Bacterial small subunit ribosomal RNA", at positions 29 to 410 of the family's 1533-position model. The record is from RNAcentral.